AUCCAGCUGUUGAGUCCCAUAUAGGAUGAAACGUGCAUCCUGGAU
Molecule: non-coding RNA, 45 nt
Filed under: Trichobilharzia regenti
Lineage: Eukaryota; Metazoa; Platyhelminthes; Trematoda; Strigeidida; Schistosomatidae
Source: RNAcentral